UGGGGAAUUUUCCGCAAUGGGCGCAAGCCUGACGGAGCAAGACCGCGUGGGGGAGGAAAGCCUUUGGGUUGUAAACCCCUUUUCUCAGGGAAGAAGCAAGUGACGGUACCUGAGGAAUCAGCCUCGGCUAACUCCGUGCCAGCAGCCGCGGUAAUACGGAGGAGGCAAGCGUUAUCCGGAAUGAUUGGGCGUAAAGCGUUCGUAGGUGGCAACUCAAGUCUGCUGUCAAAGACCGGAGCUCAACUCCGGAAAGGCAGUGGAAACUGAGUAGCUGGAGUGCGGUAGGGGCAGAGGGAAUUCCCGGUGUAGCGGUGAAAUGCGUAGAGAUCGGGAAGAACACCGGUGGCGAAAGCGCUCUGCUGGGCCGCAACUGACACUGAGGGACGAAAGCUAGGGGAGCGAAUGGGAUUAGAUACCCCCGUAGUCC
This 427-nucleotide ribosomal RNA is filed under the name uncultured prokaryote. RNAcentral's name for it is "bacterial SSU rRNA". It matches the Rfam family "Bacterial small subunit ribosomal RNA", at positions 355 to 796 of the family's 1533-position model. The record is from RNAcentral.